ACUCCUACGGGAGGCAGCAGUGGGGAAUCUUGCGCAAUGCGCGAAAGCGUGACGCAGCAACGCCGCGUGCGGGAAGAAGGCCUUAGGGUUGUAAACCGCUUUCAGUUGGGACGAAGCUUCAGGGGUUAAUAGCCAGUUGGAGUGACGGUACCUUCAGAAGAAGCUCCGGCUAACUACGUGCCAGCAGCCGCGGUAAUACGUAGGGGGCGAGCGUUGUCCGGAAUCAUUGGGCGUAAAGCGCGUGUAGGCGGUUCAGUAAGUCUGCUGUGAAAGUCCAGGGCUCAACCCUGGGAUGCCGGUGGAUACUGCUGAACUAGAGUCUGGAAGGGGCGAGUGGAAUUCCUGGUGUAGCGGUGGAAUGCGCAGAUAUCAGGAGGAACACCUAUGGCGAAGGCAGCUCGCUGGGACAGUACUGACGCUGAGACGCGAAAGCGUGGGGAGCAAACAGGAUUAGAUACCCUGGUAGCUACGAGU
Molecule: ribosomal RNA, 474 nt
Filed under: uncultured bacterium
Lineage: Bacteria
Description: bacterial SSU rRNA
Rfam family: Bacterial small subunit ribosomal RNA
Source: RNAcentral